Molecule: ribosomal RNA, 346 nt
Filed under: uncultured microorganism
Description: bacterial SSU rRNA
Rfam family: Archaeal small subunit ribosomal RNA
Source: RNAcentral
GUGCAGCAGGCGAGAAUCCUUCGCAAUGCGGGAAACCGCGACGAGGGGACUCCCAGUGCCUACGCUCAGCGUAGGCUGUUCCCGAGCCUAGAAAGCUCGGGGAGUAAGGGCUGGGUAAGACGGGUGCCAGCCGCCGCGGUAAUACCCGGCAGCCCGAGUGGUGGCCACUAUUAUUGGGCCUAAAGCGUCCGUAGCCGGCCCGGUAAAUGCCUGGGUAAAUCGUGAGGCCUAACCUCACGAAUUCCGGGUAGACUGCCGGGCUAGGGGACCGGAGGAGGGAGAGGGUACUCCAGGGGUAGGGUGAAAUCCUGUAAUCCCUGGAGGACCACCGGUGGCGAAGGCGCUC